Molecule: ribosomal RNA, 385 nt
Filed under: uncultured bacterium
Lineage: Bacteria
Description: bacterial SSU rRNA
Rfam family: Bacterial small subunit ribosomal RNA
Source: RNAcentral
AAUGAACGUUGGCGGCGUGGAUUAGGCAUGCAAGUCGUACGCACAGCAAUGUGAGUGGCGCAAGGGUGAGUAAUGCGAAGGUAACCAACCCUGGAGUUGGGCAUAACUGCGGGAAACUGCAGGUAAUUCCCAGCGAUGUCAUGAGGUGGCAUCAUCUUAUGACCAAAGGUGUGAUUCCGCUCUAGGACGGGCCUUCGUGGUAUUAGCUAGUUGGUGGGGUAACGGGCCUACCAAGGCUACGAUGCCUACCGGGUGUGAGGGCAUGACCCGGCACGACUGGAACUGAGACACUGUCCAGACACCUACGGGUGGCUGCAGUCGAGAAUCUUCGGCAAUAGGGCGAAAGACCUGACCGAGCGACGCCGCGUGAGGGAUUGAAGGCCUU